CAAUAGCGUAUAUUAAAGCUGUUGCGGUUAAAAAGCUCGUAGUUGGAUUUCUGUCAAGUACAACUGGUCCGCCCUCCGGGUGAGCACAUAGUUUGGUCUUGGCAUCUUGCUGGAAAUUGUUGCUGCACUUGGCUGUGUGGCGCAGUGUCCAGCACUUUCACUUUGAGGAAAUUGGAGUGUUUCAAGCAGGCAAUGCCUUUGAACACAGUAGCAUGGAAUAAUUAGAUUGGGCUUUUGCUCCAAUUUGUCGGUUUCUGGAGCUGAGGUGAGAAUUAAUGGGGAUUGUUGGGGGCAUCCGAAUUUAGCCGUCAGAGGUGAAAUUCUUGGAUCGGCUAAAGACGGACAACUGCGAAAGCAUUUGCCAAGGAUGUUUUCAUUGA
Molecule: ribosomal RNA, 380 nt
Filed under: uncultured eukaryote
Lineage: Eukaryota
Description: partial 18S ribosomal RNA
Rfam family: Eukaryotic small subunit ribosomal RNA
Source: RNAcentral